RNAcentral lists this ribosomal RNA (655 nucleotides) under Scytodes sp. 36 YFL-2022a. RNAcentral describes it as "SSU rRNA". It matches the Rfam family "Eukaryotic small subunit ribosomal RNA", at positions 1011 to 1689 of the family's 1831-position model. Lineage: Eukaryota; Metazoa; Arthropoda; Arachnida; Araneae; Scytodidae. The record is from RNAcentral.
GAUACCGCCCUAGUUCUAACCAUAAACGAUGCCAACCAGCGAUCCGCCUGGGUUCCUCAAAUGACUCGGCGGGCAGCUUCCGGGAAACCAAAGUCUUUGGGUUCCGGGGGGAGUAUGGUUGCAAAGCUGAAACUUGAAGGAAUUGACGGAAGGGCACCACCAGGUGUGGAGCAUGCGGCUUAAUUUGACUCAACACGCGGAAACUCACCCGAACCGAGCACUGGAAGGAUUGACAGAUUAAGAGCUCUUUCUUGAUUCAGUGGGUGGUGGUGCAUGGCCGCUUUUAGUUGGUGGAGCGAUUUGUCAGCUUAAUUGCGAUAACGAACGAGACUCUAGCCUGCUAAAUAGGCGCUCCGAUCCCUUGCGUCGGACGCUCUUCUUAGAGGGACAGGCGGCGUUUAGCCGCACGAAACAGAGCAACAGCAGGUCUGUGAUGCCCUUAGAUGCUCGGGGCCGCACGCGCGCUACACUGAAGGAAUCAGCGUGUGCUCUCCCUGUCCGGCAGGACUGGGUAACCCGUUGAACCUCCUUCGUGAUAGGGAUAGGGGCUUGUAAUUGUUCCCCUUGAACGAGGAAUACCCAGUAAGCGCGAGUCAUCAGCUCGUGUUGAUUAUGUCCCUGCCCUUUGUACACACCGCCCGUCGCUACCUCCGAU